Molecule: ribosomal RNA, 2899 nt
Filed under: Fimbriimonadaceae bacterium
Lineage: Bacteria; Bacillati; Armatimonadota; Fimbriimonadia; Fimbriimonadales; Fimbriimonadaceae
Description: 23S ribosomal RNA
Rfam family: Bacterial large subunit ribosomal RNA
Source: RNAcentral
UCGAAAGCUAAAGAGGGUGUAUGGUGAAUGCCUAGGGACAAAUUGCCGAAGAAGGACGUGUAAGCAACGAUAUGCUGCGGGAAGGUGCACAGAACCGAUGAUCCGCAGAUUUCCGAAUGGGGAAACCCGGCGCGGGUAAUGCCGCGUCAUCCAAGAGUGAAUCCAUAGCUCUUGAGAAGGGCACCUGGUGAACUGAAACAUCUUAGUAACCAGUGGAAGAGAUACCGAAGGUACUCCGUCAGUAGCGGCGAGCGAACGCGGAUCAGCCUAAACCAGUCGGCAUGCCGGCUGGGGUUGUGGGGCAUCCACUAUUCCUCCCUAACUUUGGGACGAGGCACAUCAGUGUUUCGCACCUAAAGUUAGAGAGGAAUAGAAAAGAAGACUAGAAGCGUAUAGGGGAAGAACGUUGGAAAGCGUUCCCAUAGAGGGUGAUAGGCCCGUACCUUAAAUACAAAUCAGAUUCAGGAUGUACCCGAGUAGCGCGGAGCACGAGGAAUUCCGCGUGAAUCAUCCCGGACCACCGGGAAAGGCUAAGUACAAUUUGUCACCGAUAGUGCAUCCAGUACCGUGAGGGAAAGGUGAAAAGAACCCCGGGAGGGGAGUGAAAUAGAACCUGAAACCAUGUCACCCACAAACAGUCGGAGCCCUAUGUCCGGAGUAAUCCGGUCCUGGGUGACGGCGUGCCUUUUGCAGAAUGAGUCUGCGAGUUACUGGUACCGGCAAGGUUAAGUCGUUCAGCGACGAAGCCGGAGGGAAACCGAGUUUGAACAGAGCGUCAAGUCGGUAUCAGUAGACCCGAAACUGCGUGAUCUUGCCAUGGCCAGGCUGAAGUGAAGGUAACACUUCAUGGAGGGCCGAACUCAUUGACGUUGAAAAGUCUCGGGAUGAGCUGUGGUAAGUACGGUGAAAUGCCAAUCGAACGCAGAGAUAGCUGGUUCUCUCCGAAAUGCAUUGAGGUGCAGCGUAUCGUGUUGUCAUGUGGAGGUAGAGCACUGAAUGGGCUAGGGGGCUUACCCGCUUACCGAACCCAACCAAACUCCGAAUGCCAUAUGAUUAGCGGUGCAGUGAGACUGCGAGCCAUAAGGUCCGUGGUCAAAAGGGAAACAGCCCAGAUCGACAGCUAAGGUCCCUAAGUGACGAUUAAGUGUGAAACGAUGUGGAAUCGCGUAAACAGCCAGGAGGUUGGCUUGGAAGCAGCCAUCCUUUAAAAAGUGCGUAACAGCUUACUGGCCGAAUGUGAUUCUGCGCGGACAAUGUAAGGGGGCUCAAAUCGUCCACCGAAGCUUCGGGAUUGACGUAAGUCAAUCGGUAGGAGAGCGUCGGGCAUGCAGUGAAGCUUGAGCGGAAGCACAGGUGGAGCGUGUUCGAGUGAGAAUGCAGACACGAGUAGCGAUUAUUGAAGUGAGAAUCUUCAACGCCGAUACCCUAAGGUUUCUCCGGCUAUGUUCGUCAGACGGAGGUUAGGCGGUCCUAAGGCCAGGCCAGAAGGCGUAGCCGAUGGAUAGCAGGUCAAAAUUCCUGCCCCGGUAACAGUUCAAAAGAGUGACGUUUCGAUGAGAUCCAGACACACCGUUGGUUGUUGUGAGCCUCGCCCUUCGGGGCAAAGCACUUGGAUGGAUUCGGGGCCGCGAAAAGCUCUGGAGGCUAGCUGUUAUCGACCGUACUGCAAACCGACACAGGUAGGGAAGUCGAGGAGACUAAGGCGUUCGGGAGAACUCUCGUUAAGGAACUAGGCAAAUGGGCCCCGUAAGUUCGCAAUAAGGGGCGCCUCCUUCGGGAGGCCGCAGCAAAGCAGCCAAGGCGACUGUUUACCAAAAACACAGGUCUCUGCUAAGGUGAAAACCGAAGUAUAGGGGCUGACACCUGCCCAAUGCCAGUAGAUUAAGAGGAGAUGUCAGGGUAACCAAAGCAUUGAAUUGAAGUCCUGGUGAAUGGCGGCCGUAACUCUAACGGUCCUAAGGUAGCGAAAUUCCUUGUCGGCUAAAUACCGACCCGCAUGAAAGGUGUAACGACUUUGGCACUGUCUCAACGAGAAGCCCGGUGAAACUGUAGCGCCCGUGAAGAUGCGGGCUACGCGUAAUAGGACGGAAAGACCCCGUGGAGCUUUACUACACCUUCAGAUUGCUGUUUGGGUGUGGAUGUAGAGCGUAGGUGGGAGCUUCGGCACCAAUGGAACACCACCCUUCUACAUCUGAACAGCUAACCUGACCCAUCAUCUGGGUUGGAAACAGUCUGUGGCGGGUAGUUUGACUGGGGCGGUCGACUCCUAAACAGUAACGGAGUCGUACAAAGGUGCACUCAGGCUGGUCGGAAAUCAGCCGCUGAGCGUAUAGGUAUAGAGUGCGCUUGACUGUGAGACAAACAAGUCGAGCAGGUACGAAAGUAGGUCUAAGUGACCCUCUGAUUGUGCGUGGGCACGUCAGGGUUCAACGGAUAAAAGCUACCCCGGGGAUAACAGGCUGAUCUUGCCCGAGCGCUCACAGCGACGGCAUGGUUUGGCACCUCGAUGUCGGCUCGUCGUAUCCUGGGGCUGCACAAGGUCCCAAGGGUUCCGGAGUUCACGGAUUAAAACGGCACGCGAGCUGGGUUCAGAACGGCGUGAGCCAGUUCGGUCCCUAUCCAUUACGCGCGCAGGAUAUUUGAGGGGAGUCGCUCUUAGUACGAGAGGACCGGAGUGAACCGACCUCUGGUGUACCAGUUGUCCCGCCAGGGGCAUAAGCUGGGUAGCCACGUCGGGUCGUGAUAAGCGCUGAAAGCAUCUAAGCGCCAAGCACACCCCAAGAUCAGAUAUCCCAUCGAAAGAGUAAGACCCCAUGAAGACUACAUGGUGAUAGGUCGGAGGUGGAAGCGUGGUAACACGUGCAGCUAACCGAUACUAAUUGGUCGAGGGCUUUUAAAC